This 107-nucleotide small nucleolar RNA is filed under the name Ricinus communis (castor bean). Its description in RNAcentral is "Plant small nucleolar RNA R71". It matches the Rfam family "Plant small nucleolar RNA R71". From Rfam's summary of the family: R71 is a member of the C/D box family of snoRNAs containing the C (UGAUGA) and D (CUGA) box motifs. Multiple nearly identical copies of this snoRNA have been identified in Arabidopsis, and it is thought to function as a 2'-O-ribose methylation guide for 18S ribosomal RNA. The record is from Rfam by way of RNAcentral. Lineage: Eukaryota; Viridiplantae; Streptophyta; Magnoliopsida; Malpighiales; Euphorbiaceae.
AGUCCAUGGUGCGAGCAAUAUCGGAGCAAGUCCUUGUACCUCUCCCAGGCAUCAUACAUGCUCUCGUCAUCGAACUGCAUAAAAGAAGAUAUGUCAUUUCUCAAUCU